This 501-nucleotide long non-coding RNA is filed under the name Helianthus annuus (common sunflower). RNAcentral describes it as "sRNA HanXRQr2_Chr11g0499611". Lineage: Eukaryota; Viridiplantae; Streptophyta; Magnoliopsida; Asterales; Asteraceae. The record is from RNAcentral.
UUCUUGAUAUCCGUACAUCAUGUGGGCUACUGUCUGUGAGUUCUUCCUCCAGGUUAUCUUCCUGAUUGUCGGUUGUUGCACAUUGUUUUUUGUUUGAAGAUUCUUUCUUGUUUGAAGUUCUGAAAUCUUUACGAUUCUUUCUUUUAUACUUUGAAGCCUUUGAUCUUCUCGAUGGAUAUGGAAUCCACUAGCAUCAUUUUCAACUUUCACAAGCGUUUUCUCGCUUAACGAGACGUUUGAUUUCUUACAUAAACCGUUGAUUCCACGCGUUUUCACUGUGGUGGAUAACUUUUUUGUUUUGAACGUUAACGUGCCCUUCCUGAUUGCUAUUUCUUCUUCAGAUUCGCCAAAAAACAUUUCUUUCCGGCUAGAAGUUCUCGUGCGUUUCAUUGAAGACCCGUUGUCAUCGUCUUUUUGAGAAUUCAUAAGCUUGUGAACCUUUCUCUUUUUUUCAACUGUAACAUAUCUACUCAUAUGAUUUUCCUUUGGAAAUACGACCUC